UUUGGUUUUUUUGCGGUUCUGGUUGUUAAAUGGAGGGUUAAGUCCAGCUACGAGCGCAACCGUUAUCCUUUUCUGCCAGUGGUUAGCCCGGGAACUCAAAGGAGACUGCCAGUGAUAAACUGGAGGAAGGUGGGGAUGACGUCAAGUCAUCAUGGCCCUUACGAGUAGGGCUACACACGUGAUACAAUGGCGCAUACAAAGAGAAGCGACCUCGCGAGAGCAAGCGGACCUCAUAAAGUGCGUCGUAGUCCGGAUUGGAGUCUGCAACUCGACUCCAUGAAGUCGGAAUCGCUAGUAAUCGUAGAUCAGAAUGCUACGGUGAAUACGUUCCCGGGCCUUGUACACACCGCCCGUCACACCAUGGGAGUGGGUUGCAAAAGAAGUAGGUAGCUUAACCUUAAGGAGGGCGCUAACCUACU
RNAcentral lists this ribosomal RNA (419 nucleotides) under bacterium 14S431. RNAcentral describes it as "bacterial SSU rRNA". It matches the Rfam family "Bacterial small subunit ribosomal RNA", at positions 1044 to 1462 of the family's 1533-position model. The record is from RNAcentral.